Molecule: ribosomal RNA, 465 nt
Filed under: Vreelandella stevensii
Lineage: Bacteria; Pseudomonadati; Pseudomonadota; Gammaproteobacteria; Oceanospirillales; Halomonadaceae
Description: partial 16S ribosomal RNA
Rfam family: Bacterial small subunit ribosomal RNA
Source: RNAcentral
CCUACGGGGGGCUGCAGUGGGGAAUAUUGGACAAUGGGGGGAACCCUGAUCCAGCCAUGCCGCGUGUGUGAAGAAGGCCCUCGGGUUGUAAAGCACUUUCAGUGAGGAAGAACGCCUGGUGGUGAAUACCCAUCAGGAAAGACAUCACUCACAGAAGAAGCACCGGCUAACUCCGUGCCAGCAGCCGCGGUAAUACGGAGGGUGCGAGCGUUAAUCGGAAUUACUGGGCGUAAAGCGCGCGUAGGUGGCUUGAUAAGCCGGUUGUGAAAGCCCCGGGCUCAACCGGGGAACGGCAUCCGGAACUGUCAAGCUAGAGUGCAGGAGAGGAAGGUAGACUUCCCGGUGUAGCGGUGAAAUGCGUAGAGAUCGGGAGGAAUACCAGUGGCGAAGGCGGCCUUCUGGACUGACACUGACACUGAGGUGCGAAAGCGUGGGUAGCAAACAGGAUUAGAUACCCCAGUAGUC